ACACGUAUCCACGUAUCAACCCCUCUGCGAAAACGAAGAAACAGAAGGCGUGUUCUGAGUGUGUCGUCGGUUGUCCUAAUGAUGGCGGAGCUUGCUCCGGGGACAUAUAAUCACGGCAUGCGUUCGAGGAAUCGCCGCUUUUUUUCCCAUCAUUAGCCCUUUUCCAUUUUUAACCCCUUGUACUUCUUAUGUACUGAACCAAUUCUUUCGAUGCUCGCAAGAGCGACGAAAAGAUAUUACGAAACUAAAAGAA
RNAcentral lists this unclassified non-coding RNA (253 nucleotides) under soil metagenome. RNAcentral's name for it is "partial internal transcribed spacer 1". The record is from RNAcentral.